This 486-nucleotide ribosomal RNA is filed under the name uncultured bacterium. Its description in RNAcentral is "bacterial SSU rRNA". It matches the Rfam family "Bacterial small subunit ribosomal RNA", at positions 21 to 507 of the family's 1533-position model. The record is from RNAcentral.
GGCUCAGGAUGAACGCUGGCGGCGUGCUUAACACAUGCAAGUCGAACGAAGCACUCAUGACAGAUUCUUCGGAUGAUGGAUUGAUUGACUGAGUGGCGGACGGGUGAGUAACGCGUGGGUAACCUGCCGUAUACAGGGGGACAACAGUUGGAAACGACUGCUAAUACCGCAUAAGCGCACAGGACCGCAUGGUCUGGUGUGAAAAACUCCGGUGGUAUACGAUGGACCCGCGUCUGAUUAGCUAGUUGGUGAGGUAACGGCCCACCAAGGCGACGAUCAGUAGCCGGCCUGAGAGGGUGAACGGCCACAUUGGGACUGAGACACGGCCCAAACUCCUACGGGAGGCAGCAGUGGGGAAUAUUGCACAAUGGGGGAAACCCUGAUGCAGCGACGCCGCGUGAGUGAAGAAGUGUUUCGGUAUGUAAAGCUCUAUCAGCAGGGAAGAAAAUGACGGUACCUGACUAAGAAGCCCCGGCUAACUACGUG